RNAcentral lists this ribosomal RNA (253 nucleotides) under uncultured bacterium. RNAcentral describes it as "partial 16S ribosomal RNA". It matches the Rfam family "Bacterial small subunit ribosomal RNA", at positions 524 to 776 of the family's 1533-position model. The record is from RNAcentral.
UACGUAGGGGGCAAGCGUUGUCCGGAUUUAUUGGGCGUAAAGAGCGUGUAGGCGGCUUUACAGGUCCGUUGUGAAAACUCGAGGCUCAACCUCGAGACGCCGGUGGAAACCGUAAAGCUAGAGUCCGGAAGAGGAGAGUGGAAUUCCUGGUGUAGCGGUGAAAUGCGCAGAUAUCAGGAGGAACACCGGUGGCGAAGGCGGGUCUCUGGGCCGUAACUGACGCUGAGGCGCGAAAGCUAGGGGAGCAAACAGG